Molecule: unclassified non-coding RNA, 335 nt
Filed under: soil metagenome
Description: partial contains 5.8S ribosomal RNA, internal transcribed spacer 2, and large subunit ribosomal RNA
Rfam family: 5.8S ribosomal RNA (bases 1-120)
Source: RNAcentral
GAUGAAGAACGUAGUGAAAUGCGAUAAGUAGUGUGAAUUGCAGAAUUCAGUGAAUCAUCGAAUCUUUGAACGCACAUUGCGCCCCUUGGUACUCCAUGGGGCAUGCCUGUUCGAGCGUCAUUUACACCCUCAAGCUCAGCUUGGUGUUGGGCGUCUGUCCCGCUUCGUGCGCGGACUCGCCUCAAAUGCAUUGGCAGCGGUCUUGCCAGCUUCUCGCGCAGCACAUUGCGCUUCUAGAGGCUUUGGCAGAUCGGCGUCCAUCAAGUACACCCACAGUUUGACCUCGGAUCAGGUAGGGAUACCCGCUGAACUUAAGCAUAUCAAUAAGCGGAGGA